CCUACGGGUGGCUGCAGUGAGGAAUAUUGGUCAAUGAGCGAGAGCUUGAACCAGCCACGUCGCGUGCAGGAAGAAUGUCUUAUGGAUUGUAAACUGCUUUUUCGGUAGAGUAACGUGCGUCACGUGUGGCGUAUUGCAAGUAUACCGAGAAUAAGGAUCGGCUAACUCCGUGCCAGCAGCCGCGGUAAUACGGAGGAUCCGAGCGUUAUCCGGAUUUAUUGGGUUUAAAGGGUACGUAGGCGGGAUGAUAAGUCAGCGGUGAAAUUUUGCAGCUUAACUGUAAGCUUGCCGUUGAAACUAUUAUUCUUGAGUGUAGAUAAGGUAGGCGGAAUGUGUUGUGUAGCGGUGAAAUGCUUAGAUAUAACACAGAACACCAAUUGCGAAGGCAGCUUACCGGGUUACCACUGACGCUGAGGUACGACAGCGUGGGGAUCAAACAGGAUUAGAUACCCGAGUAGUC
Molecule: ribosomal RNA, 460 nt
Filed under: uncultured Porphyromonadaceae bacterium
Lineage: Bacteria; Pseudomonadati; Bacteroidota; Bacteroidia; Bacteroidales; Porphyromonadaceae
Description: bacterial SSU rRNA
Rfam family: Bacterial small subunit ribosomal RNA
Source: RNAcentral